AUUAACCCAUCCUCCCUCAUUCCCCACACCCUCUGCCCUUGACCCUCCCAGUACACUUGAUACAUCCCAGCCACUCCCUAACCUAUACAAAUACACCCAAGGAUGGACAGAGCAUCAGACUUCCUCCUGCCCCCUGCUCUGCACUCUCAGGUGUUCCACUUGUCACCCUCUGCACUUGCCGCAUAAAGAUGGAGCCGUGUCCAAAGGGGCACUGCCAUGGCCCUGGGCACCACCAUGGCCCAGGAUGCCCCCCCCAUGGCCCAGGAGGCCCCCAUCCAGGGCCCGGUGGGCACCCCCCUGGCCAUGGCCCAGGGCACCCCCCACACCCACAUGGUCCACAUCAUUGAAGAAGGAGAAGCAGCAGGGCACAAGAAUGGCGAGCCCGAGUGGGUUGCCCUGCUAAGCUGGCAUGGGGCUUGAACCAGAAUCCUCUAAUAAACAGCCUCCUGGAGGCCAUGUUUCACUCUUAAAAGAGCUUGUCUUCUUUCACAUUCAACUUGCCAAGCAGGGGGCCUGGUGGUCUCUGGGUUCCCUAGUUGGGAAAGUGGGGUACUUAGCCAGACAUUCUCAGAAGCUUCCCUCAGUGGUGCCCAUGCAUAUGUUGUAUAAGGCCACCCUUCCUUUCUUUUUCACUUCUGCCCCCUCCCAUCAAAAGGCCUCAAGUGUAGCCCAUCAUAUACACCCAGGCCUGGUGGGCCUUCCAAGGUUCCAUCUUGCAUGCCUCACUCUACAGAUCAGAAGCCUUCAAUGGAUCCCUACCAUCCAGAUGUAUU
This 773-nucleotide long non-coding RNA is filed under the name Equus asinus (donkey). RNAcentral's name for it is "lncRNA (ENSEASG00005028345.1)". Lineage: Eukaryota; Metazoa; Chordata; Mammalia; Perissodactyla; Equidae. The record is from RNAcentral.